This 424-nucleotide ribosomal RNA is filed under the name uncultured bacterium. RNAcentral describes it as "bacterial SSU rRNA". It matches the Rfam family "Bacterial small subunit ribosomal RNA", at positions 355 to 775 of the family's 1533-position model. The record is from RNAcentral.
UGAGGAAUAUUGGUCAAUGGGCGCAAGCCUGAACCAGCCAUCCCGUGUGCAGGAAGACGGCGCUAUGCGUUGUAAACUGCUUUUCCAGGGGGAGAAACUUGCGCACGUGUUGCGCAAUUGACGGUACCCUGGGAAUAAGCAUCGGCUAACUCCGUGCCAGCAGCCGCGGUAAUACGGAGGAUGCGAGCGUUAUCCGGAUUCAUUGGGUUUAAAGGGUGCGUAGGCGGACUAUUAAGUCAGUGGUGAAAUCCUGCAGCAUAACUGCAGAACUGCCAUUGAUACUGAUAGCCUUGAGUUUGGUUAAGGUAGGCGGAAUGUGUAAUGUAGCGGUGAAAUGCUUAGAUAUUACAUAGAACACCAAUUGCGUAGGCAGCUUACUGAGCCGACACUGACGCUGAGGCACGAAAGCGUGGGGAUCGAACAG